ACCAGGUUGAUCUCCAAGUGAGACGUAGUGGUGGAUUUCUUCUUCUACAGAAAUCCUGAAGAGAGAGCCCGGCGGAAAAAGAAGAGGCUGCGAAGAAGAUUGCACCGGCGAAAGAAUUCACUGGUCCGGUGGUCCGAAACUGCUCCUGCUCCGGAUCCCGGCUGAGGUCGAGUCGACUCGACCGUGACGACCGACAACUGGGCUGACGACGUCGCACCGACAGCGGCUACCGCUAUUCCUACACCAAAGGGUUGAUUCUGUAUCACGCAGUGUAAUGAAAAUUACAAAAGUGAGCGAAUUUAUUAAAAUAUCUACGAUCUUAUUGGUCAACUAGUAAAUUUGCUCACUUUUGUAAUUUUCACUACAUUGUAUGGAUAUAGAAUCGACCGUCAGCCUGUGGAAAAGUGAACGGUACACCGUGGCUACCACCUGCUGCUUAAAGUUGGGAAAGUGCAAGCAGUGAGAAGUAGUAAUUUAUGCUUGACGUCUNAAGGAUGAUACAAUUUAUACAUAGUACAGCAAUAUAAUUUAAGAAGUUUUGUGAAUAAGUAUAACGAUUUUUAAAUUUUAUAUAAGUAGUAAACAUUUCUAUUAAAAAAAAGUAAUAAAAGGUCAUAUAAUUGUUUUAU
Pseudomyrmex gracilis is the source of this 629-nucleotide long non-coding RNA. RefSeq lists it as uncharacterized. NCBI's taxonomy places the organism in Eukaryota, Metazoa, Arthropoda, Insecta, Hymenoptera, Formicidae. The record is from RefSeq and is a predicted model, not a curated record. The transcript is spliced from 4 exons.